CGUCCAGUUUUCGUUAGUAACAUCAUAAGGCCAUACAGCCUGUCCUGUAUCUCAUCAGUCCUAGUUUGUCUCUCAACCAUGGUCAAAAUUGGGCUAUUUUCCCCAGAUAUGCUCCUAGCCGUAGUGAUAUCCACAGAUCGAUUAAUAACCUCGGGCUUAUAAUAUAGCUCCUCUUCAUCAACCCUAUUCCUUUGCAAAAACCUUGUCACCAAUCCUCCAAAGCUAAAGCUGUGCCCUGCCUGGAUACACACCUUCUUCAUCACAGAAAAUAUCAUAUGCCCCACAUUAAUAUCAAUAUCAGCACACAUGAGGGCGU
RNAcentral lists this long non-coding RNA (316 nucleotides) under Capsicum annuum. RNAcentral describes it as "long non-coding RNA (CANN_LNC019925)". The record is from RNAcentral. Lineage: Eukaryota; Viridiplantae; Streptophyta; Magnoliopsida; Solanales; Solanaceae.